UACGGAGGGUGCAAGCGUUGCUCGGAAUCAUUGGGCGUAAAGCGUACGCAGGCUGUUCGUUAAGUCGGGUGUGAAAGCCCGGGGCUCAACCCCGGAACUGCGCCCGAAACUGGCGAGCUUGAGUGCGGGAGAGGGAAGCGGAAUUCCUGGUGUAGAGGUGAAAUUCGUAGAUAUCAGGAGGAACACCGGUGGCGAAAGCGGCUUCCUGGCCCGACACUGACGCUCAUGUACGAAAGCGUGGGGAGCAAACAGG
Molecule: ribosomal RNA, 253 nt
Filed under: uncultured bacterium
Lineage: Bacteria
Description: partial 16S ribosomal RNA
Rfam family: Bacterial small subunit ribosomal RNA
Source: RNAcentral